Musa acuminata AAA Group (dessert banana) is the source of this 2002-nucleotide long non-coding RNA. RefSeq lists it as uncharacterized. The transcript has 2 exons. NCBI's taxonomy places the organism in Eukaryota, Viridiplantae, Streptophyta, Magnoliopsida, Zingiberales, Musaceae. The record is from RefSeq and is a predicted model, not a curated record.
CCAAGCCCUUAGCACGAAGAGACGAUCUCUGCUUCUACAGCCAGCGACUCUCUCCAAAGAUACGAUUGGCGACGGUUGGUGAUCGACGCCCCAACACCUCCCCCUUACGCUCUCUCGAUCUCUUCCCUCCUCCCUUUCCCGCUGUGCUUUCCCCACUUCCCUUCUAUCAUCUCCCUUUCCUAACAACUGACGCUACUCCUUUCACCGGCAGCACAACCCCUUUCUUCUUCUCCUUUUCCUGUCUUUCUCAGGCAGUCCCUCCCUCCCUCCCUUCCUCAGCCGCCACCGCUUCAUAGCUUUACUAUCUUGUACUUUGUAUGGAUUACGUUGCAUUUCAUCCUUUAUUUAUGUGCAUAUAGCGUUCGAGUGUUCUAUGUUUGCUAACAACUUUGUAUGGACUCUGUUUCCAAUAGCUUGGUGGUGGAUAGCUUGACCGUCAACAAGCAGAUUCGGGUCAAGAACAGUAGCUGUAAGUUUAAAGCAUUGAUUCCUUUAUGCUCCAUCUCUUCUUCUUGCUUGUUUCAUCUUAGAUCAGAUUGGUUGGACUUCAGAGUAGACAUGUGUAUGGGUGAUAGAAUGUUUAUGACAAGUUACAAUCUUGAUGCAAUUUAAACUUCUCUAACUGAUGGGAGAACUGAUAUUGUUGUUCUAGAAAAAACUUCUAUUAGAUUUAAUAAUAUGUUCAUUAGAUCUUAAUGUCACUUUGAAUGGCAUGUGAGAGUAUUGAUACUACUUGUUUCGAGUGUCUUAGAUGUUAAUUAUACUAGACCAUGCUUGAUGUUGACUGAUGUUGCAUUAGAUGUUAAUACAAUAUCAUUACACUUGUCUUUCUCUCUGAUAUUUACUUCUCCAUUGGUAAUUCGGUGUUCUUGUAAACUGAUUUUUAUGUUGUGUUGUGACUCUUAUGCCCCCUCACGCUGAAUUGUUUGAUGUCACUGCCAUUGCUCCAUAAAUUUUGUGCACUUUUAAUGCAUGAUACUAUUUUCUAUAUUAUUACCCUAGUAAGAAGUAUUAGUCCUUGUUCUCAACAUCAACAGAAAUUAAGUUGGACUGAAUUUUUGUUUUCUAGAUCUUUAGCAUCGAAAGAUAAGUAAUUAGUGCACUGUAUAUCUUCUUGUACACGUUAACACCUUGUAUAUGUUAUGAGGUCUCAUUCAUCUUCUUCUGCAAUUAACUGAUUAAUGCACUGUAUAUCUUUCUUUGUUCUAUUUUUUUGUAUCGUUUAAUGGUUCUUGUUGAACAUAGCCUGACAUUUUUCUCAAACCACCCGCCAUUUUAUAGUUUAAUGCACUGUAUAUCAAUUAAAUGUUAUUAUAAUUAACAUAGGAUUGCUUGAUCCUAAGGUCGAGUUGAAAAAGUAUAAAAAAAAUCCUAAUUGUCUUACUCUUGCCUUUGCCAUCAAUGGAAUACCUUGGAGAAGCAAUCAAUCCUGCUGUUACGAGAUCUCAUUCUCUUCAUUUUGGAGAAAGCAAUGAGCCAUCUUGCUGUUGAUGAGAUUCCUGUAAUGGCUUUGUUUCACAAGUUCUGAACAGUGGAUUACAGAUAAGAGUGUUCCUGGGUGAUGGAGAUGGCCGCUGUCAUGGCCAUCGCCUUGGCCAACGGUGGUGGGAAGCCCCCCGACUGGCAAGACUUCGUCGGGAUCGUCGUGUUGCUCGUGAUCAACUCCACCAUCAGUUUUAUCGAAGAGAACAACGCCAGGCAAUGCUGCGGCCUGUCACGGACAAACUUUGAAACAGGGUGUUUAAUGUAAUGCUUAUGUAUGUCCGUGUCUUUUGGCAUGUUCAUGCCUUGUACAACAUGUAGAGGGGCGGCCGAAGGCAUAAUAGUCCCAUUUUAGUUGGGUUGGUGGCCUCUUUAGGCUUGUAAAUAAAGGUUGUGUCAUGUGGACACGUGCGAGAGCUUUUCGGUCUGUAAUGGACCAUUUUACCCUUUGUUGUGUCACUGUUCAGAGCUUGUAAAGUCUGUUUGUAAUUUGCAUUGUCUAUGAAGUGUUUUUCGGAGA